Molecule: ribosomal RNA, 497 nt
Filed under: uncultured bacterium
Lineage: Bacteria
Description: partial 16S ribosomal RNA
Rfam family: Bacterial small subunit ribosomal RNA
Source: RNAcentral
GAUGAACGCUGGCGGCGUGCCUAAUACAUGCCAGUCGAGCGAAUGGACGAGAAGCUUGCUUCUCUGAUGUUAGCGGCGGACGGGGGAGUAACACGUGGAUAACCUACCUAUAAGACUGGGAUAACUUCGGGAAACCGUAGCUAAUACCGGAUAAUAUUUUGAACCUCAUUGUUCAAAAGUGAAAGACGGUCUUGCUGUCACUUAUAGCUGGAUCCGCGCUGCAUUAGCUAGUUGGUAAGGUAACGGCUUACCAAGGCAACGAUGCAUAGCCGACUUGGAAGGGUGAUCGCCCACCUUGGACCGGGAACACGGCCCAGACUCCUAGGGGAGGCAGCAGAAGGGAAUCUUCCGCAAUGGGGGAAGGCCGGACGGGGCAACGCGGCGGGAGUGAGGAAGGUCUUCGGAUCGUAAAACUCGGUUAUUAGGGAAGAACAUAUGUGUAAGUAACUGUGCACAUCUUGACGGUACCUAAUCAGAAAGCCACGGCUAACUACGUG